This 253-nucleotide ribosomal RNA is filed under the name uncultured bacterium. RNAcentral describes it as "partial 16S ribosomal RNA". It matches the Rfam family "Bacterial small subunit ribosomal RNA", at positions 524 to 776 of the family's 1533-position model. The record is from RNAcentral.
UACGGAGAGUGCAAGCAUUAAUCGGAAUGAUUGGGCGUAAAGGGCGCGUAGGCUGAGAGGUAAGUCAGAUGUGAAAUUCCGAAGCUCAACUUCGGAGCUGCAUUUGAAACUGCCUAUCUAGAGGGUUGACGGAGAAAACGGAAUUCCACGUGUAGCGGUGAAAUGCGUAGAUAUGUGGAAGAACACCAGUGGCGAAAGCGGUUUUCUAGUUUAUACCUGACGCUGAGGUGCGAAAGCGUGGGGAGCAAACAGG